GGGCCCGCACAAGCGGUGGAGCAUGUGGUUUAAUUCGAUGCAACGCGAAGAACCUUACCAGGGCUUGACAUACUACAAAUCCUUUUGAGAAAAAGAAGUGCCUUCGGGAAUGUAGAUACAGGUGGUGCAUGGCUGUCGUCAGCUCGUGUCGUGAGAUGUUGGGUUAAGUCCCGCAACGAGCGCAACCCUUAUUUUUAGUUACUAAUUCGUUAGGUUCUCUAGAAAGACUGCCGGUGACAAACCGGAGGAAGGUGAGGAUGACGUCAAGUCAGCAUGCCCCUUAUGUCCUGGGCUACACACGUGCUACAAUGGUUAAGACAAAGAGUCGCGAGCUCGCGAGAGUCAGCUAAUCUCAUAAACUUAGCCUAAGUUCAGAUUGUAGGCUGCAACUCGCCUGCAUGAAGUUGGAAUCGCUAGUAAUCGC
This 424-nucleotide ribosomal RNA is filed under the name uncultured bacterium. Its description in RNAcentral is "bacterial SSU rRNA". It matches the Rfam family "Bacterial small subunit ribosomal RNA", at positions 917 to 1345 of the family's 1533-position model. The record is from RNAcentral.